GAUGAACGCUGGCGGCGUGCCUAAUACAUGCAAGUCGAGCGAACAGGCGCGGCGCUUGCGGCUCUCACGUUGGGGACGGGUGGGUGAGUAACGGGUGGAUAACCUACCUCUAAGACUGAGGUAUCUUCGAGAAGGCGGAGCUAAUACCGGAUAAUAUAUUGAGCGGCAUGGUUGAAUAGUGAAAUCCGGUUUUGCUGUCACUGCUAGCUGUAUGCGCGCUGCAUGAGCUAGUUGGUACGGUAACGGCUUCCCAAGGCAACGAUGCGUAGCCGAGCUGAGAGGGGGAUCGGCCACUGUGGAGCUGAGACACGGUCCAGACUCCUACGUGAGGCAGCAGUAGGGAAUCUUCCGCAAUGGGCGGAAGCUUGACGGAUCAACGCCGGGUGAGUGAAGAAGGUCUGCGGAUCGUAUAACUCUGUUAUGAGUGAAGAACAAAUGUGUAAGUAACUAUGCACGUCUUGACGGUACCUAGUCAGAAAGCCACGGCUAACUACGUG
This 497-nucleotide ribosomal RNA is filed under the name uncultured bacterium. RNAcentral's name for it is "partial 16S ribosomal RNA". It matches the Rfam family "Bacterial small subunit ribosomal RNA", at positions 28 to 507 of the family's 1533-position model. The record is from RNAcentral.